Paramisgurnus dabryanus is the source of this 537-nucleotide non-coding RNA. Lineage: Eukaryota; Metazoa; Chordata; Actinopteri; Cypriniformes; Cobitidae. The record is from RefSeq and is a predicted model, not a curated record.
GUUUAUUAUUUUUGUCACCUGUCAUAUUAGUAAUAUUAGUUGAUUUAAUUUGACAUUGACUGAUAUGUCUUUGUCUGUCUUUGCCAUAAACAGGAAAGACAUCAGCCUUGAGCAUUUCAUUGCACUUUGACAGACUCAAAAGAUAGCCAAAUGUAGCAGCAAGCCAGCAACAGGAGAGAGCUCGUGAGCGCGCCCAGACGCUGAUGAAGUCUGCGACUGUGCUGACUGUAGCACCAGCUGCCGCCAGAAUAAAAGUUGAUGUAGAGAAAUCAUCUGCAAGGCAGAAAACAAACAAGAACAAUUAUUAUUAUGUUGAUAAAAAAAUGUAAUAAGUCUUCUUAUUUUACACAGUAAUUAAAAAACAACAAAUAAAUCUGAAUUAAUAAUUGUGCAAUUUAAUUGAAUUAUUUGGUUUAAACAGAAGUAAUGGGGGAAGAUCAAUGUUCUGUUAAAAACAACAAAUCACUGGUCAAAAUGGAAAUGUGACAUUGCAAGCAUAAAGGUGACAUUGUUUUGUAAAGGUGUAAAUCAAGUUGC